This is a long non-coding RNA of Haliotis rubra (blacklip abalone), 179 nucleotides long. RefSeq lists it as uncharacterized. NCBI's taxonomy places the organism in Eukaryota, Metazoa, Mollusca, Gastropoda, Lepetellida, Haliotidae. The record is from RefSeq and is a predicted model, not a curated record. The transcript has 3 exons.
AGAAUCUACCCACUCAUCCCUUUACUCACGGUAUCACAGCGGUGAUGCACUCACAGUGACAACGCCAUUUGUUACACACCACGGGGUCUUUUGUCCAGCUAGAAAUCUGAUUACAUGUGGUGUGAUCUUCGUGCACGUUUCUUCAACAGCUGCAUUUGUUCCGGACCUACCCACCCUGC